ACUAUGUUUUGAUCUUCAAUAAUGUAUAUUUAUACUAUAGAAUGAACAAUUCAAUCUUUUAAUUUAUAAAAAAAAAAUAGAAAAACUUGUAAUAUUUUGAAAAAUAUUUUUGUAGAAUCCAUUUUCAAAAAUACAAAGAAAAAAAAUCCAUUUUUUAAAAGGUAAAACAAAUUGGCCCUUAGCUUGUACCUGAACGAGAAAGAGGAAACUCGGUUCUUCAGCUUGUAACUGCGUGCUUUUGAAUGCUUAGAUGUUUGGGCAUAUGGCCCAAAUGAACUGUCCAUUGCCUUCAUCCC
Molecule: long non-coding RNA, 296 nt
Filed under: Lathyrus oleraceus (garden pea)
Lineage: Eukaryota; Viridiplantae; Streptophyta; Magnoliopsida; Fabales; Fabaceae
Description: Pisum sativum (pea) long non-coding RNA (PSAT_LNC003488)
Source: RNAcentral